This 468-nucleotide ribosomal RNA is filed under the name uncultured bacterium. RNAcentral describes it as "partial 16S ribosomal RNA". It matches the Rfam family "Bacterial small subunit ribosomal RNA", at positions 28 to 507 of the family's 1533-position model. The record is from RNAcentral.
GACGAACGCUGGCGGCGUGCUUAACACAUGCAAGUCGAACGGAAAGGCCCUGCUUUUGUGGGGUGCUCGAGUGGCGAACGGGUGAGUAACACGUGAGUAACCUGCCCUUGACUUUGGGAUAACUUCAGGAAACUGGGGCUAAUGCCGGAUAGGAGCUCCUGCUGCAUGGUGGGGGUUGGAAAGUUUCGGCGGUUGGGGAUGGACUCGCGGCUUAUCAGCUUGUUGGUGGGGUAGUGGCUUACCAAGGCUUUGACGGGUAGCCGGCCUGUGAGGGUGACCGGGCACAUUGGGACUAAGAUACGGACCAGAGUGCAACGGGAGGCAGUAGGGGGGAAUAUGGCACAAUGGGCGGAAGCGUGAGGCAGAAACGCCGGGGGCGGGAUGACGGCCUUCGGGUUGUAAAAAGCUUUAGCCUGUGACGAAGCGGGAGUGACGGUAAUGGGUAAAGAAGCACCGGCUAACUACGUG